UACGGAGGUGGCGAGCGUUGUUCGGAUUUACUGGGUGUAAAGGGCACGUAGGCGGUCCUGUAAGCUCUGCUUGAAAUUCAUUGGCUCAACCAAUGGACGUGGCAGGGAACUGCUGGACUUGAGGGCUGGAGAGGUGAACGGAAUUCCCGGUGUAAGGGUGAAAUCUGUAGAUAUCGGGAGGAACACCAGUGGCGUAGGCGGUUCACUGGCCAGCUUCUGACGCUGAGGUGCGAAAGCUAGGGGAGCGAACAGG
Molecule: unclassified non-coding RNA, 253 nt
Filed under: uncultured bacterium
Lineage: Bacteria
Description: contains 16S-23S intergenic spacer region
Rfam family: Bacterial small subunit ribosomal RNA
Source: RNAcentral